CCUACGGGAGGCAGCAGUAGGGAAUAUUGGACAAUGGACGCAAGUCUGAUCCAGCCAUCCCGCGUGAAGGAUUAAGGCCCUAUGGGUUGUAAACUUCUUUUCUUUGGGAAUAAAAAGCGGUAUUCAUAUCGCCUUGAAGGUACCAGAGGAAUAAGCACCGGCUAACUCCGUGCCAGCAGCCGCGGUAAUACGGAGGGUGCAAGCGUUAUCCGGAUUCACUGGGUUUAAAGGGUGCGUAGGUGGCUUUGUAAGUCAGCGGUGAAAGCCUGGAGCUCAACUCCAGAAUUGCCAUUGAUACUGCAGAGCUUGAAUCAAGUUGAGGUGGAUGGAAUAUUACAUGUAGCGGUGAAAUGCUUAGAUAUGUAAUAGAACACCGAUUGCGAAGGCAGUUCACUAAGCUUGUAUUGACACUGAGGCACGAAAGCGUGGGGAUCAAACAGGAUUAGAUACCCUGGUAGUCCACGCCCUAAACGAUGCAAACUCGACAUUAGCGAUAUACAGUAGUGUCGACGACGAAGACGUUAAGUUAGUCGACCGUCGGUAAGGUACGUACCGCGAGUAGUUAACGUUACAAUUAGAGUUAGACGGCGNGAGAGNGCGACGGACGACGACGAGGGAGGAGG
This 623-nucleotide ribosomal RNA is filed under the name uncultured bacterium. RNAcentral describes it as "bacterial SSU rRNA". The stretch from base 1 to 536 matches the Rfam family "Bacterial small subunit ribosomal RNA", at positions 338 to 873 of the family's 1533-position model. The record is from RNAcentral.